CCUACGGGGGGCUGCAGUGGGGAAUAUUGGACAAUGGGGGAAACCCUGAUCCAGCCAUGCCGCGUGUGUGAAGAAGGCCCUCGGGUUGUAAAGCACUUUCAGUGAGGAAGAACGCCUGGUGGUUAAUACCCAUCAGGAAAGACAUCACUCACAGAAGAAGCACCGGCUAACUCCGUGCCAGCAGCCGCGGUAAUACGGAGGGUGCGAGCGUUAAUCGGAAUUACUGGGCGUAAAGCGCGCGUAGGUGGCUUGAUAAGCCGGUUGUGAAAGCCCCGGGCUCAACCUGGGAACGGCAUCCGGAACUGUCAAGCUAGAGUGCAGGAGAGGAAGGUAGAAUUCCCGGUGUAGCGGUGAAAUGCGUAGAGAUCGGGAGGAAUACCAGUGGCGAAGGCGGCCUUCUGGACUGACACUGACACUGAGGUGCGAAAGCGUGGGUAGCAAACAGGAUUAGAUACCCUUGUAGUC
RNAcentral lists this ribosomal RNA (465 nucleotides) under Vreelandella stevensii. RNAcentral describes it as "partial 16S ribosomal RNA". It matches the Rfam family "Bacterial small subunit ribosomal RNA", at positions 338 to 795 of the family's 1533-position model. The record is from RNAcentral. Lineage: Bacteria; Pseudomonadati; Pseudomonadota; Gammaproteobacteria; Oceanospirillales; Halomonadaceae.